CUGUAGCUCACGACGCCUUGCUUAACCACACCCCCACGGGAAACAGCAGUGACAAAAAUUAAGCCAUAAACGAAAGUUUGACUAAGUUAUAUUAAUUAGGGUUGGUAAAUCUCGUGCCAGCCACCGCGGUCAUACGAUUAACCCAAGCUAACAGGAGUACGGCGUAAAACGUGUUAAAGCACCAUACCAAAUAGGGUUAAAUUCUAACUAAGCUGUAAAAAGCCAUGAUUAAAAUAAAAAUAAAUGACGAAAGUGACCCUACAAUAGCCGACGCACUAUAGCUAAGACCCAAACUGGGAUUAGAUACCCCACUAUGCUUAGCCCUAAACACAGAUAAUUACAUAAACAAAAUUAUUCGCCAGAGUACUACUAGCAACAGCUUAAAACUCAAAGGACUUGGCGGUGCUUUAUAUCCUUCUAGAGGAGCCUGUUCUAUAAUCGAUAAACCCCGAUAAACCUCACCAAUUCUUGCUAAUACAGUCUAUAUACCGCCAUCUUCAGCAAACCCU
RNAcentral lists this ribosomal RNA (509 nucleotides) under Bos taurus (domestic cattle). RNAcentral describes it as "similar to 12S ribosomal RNA". It matches the Rfam family "Bacterial small subunit ribosomal RNA", at positions 319 to 1019 of the family's 1533-position model. The record is from RNAcentral. Lineage: Eukaryota; Metazoa; Chordata; Mammalia; Artiodactyla; Bovidae.